Molecule: ribosomal RNA, 465 nt
Filed under: uncultured bacterium
Lineage: Bacteria
Description: partial 16S ribosomal RNA
Rfam family: Bacterial small subunit ribosomal RNA
Source: RNAcentral
GACGAACGCUGGCGGCGUGCUUAACACAUGCAAGUCGAACGGAAAGGCCCUGCUAUCGUGGGGUGAUCGAGUGGCGAACGGGUGCGUAACACGUGAGUAACCUGCUCUUGACUUUGGGAUAACUUCAGGAAACUGGGGCUAAUACCGGAUAGGAGAUCCUGCUGCAUGGUGGGGGUUGGAAAGUUUCGGCGGUUGGGGAUGGACUAGCGGCUUAUCAGCUUGUUGGUGGGGUAGUGGCUUACCAAGGCUUUGACGGGUAGCCGGCGUGAGUGGGUGACGGGCCAGAUUGGGACUGGGAGACGGACCGGGCACCAUCGGAAAACAGCAGUGAGGAUUAUUGCACAAUGGGGGGUAGCCGGAUGCGGCAACGCGGCUGUAGAGAUGACUUCCUGCGAGUGAAAAGCCGCUUGCGCCUGUGACGAUGCGUUGGGGACAGUAAAAGAUAAAGAAGCGCCUGCUAACUAC